RNAcentral lists this ribosomal RNA (433 nucleotides) under uncultured bacterium. RNAcentral's name for it is "partial 16S ribosomal RNA". It matches the Rfam family "Bacterial small subunit ribosomal RNA", at positions 29 to 507 of the family's 1533-position model. The record is from RNAcentral.
AACGAACGCUGGCGGCAUGCCUAACACAUGCAAGUCGAACGAGACCUUCGGGUCUAGUUGCGCACGUGCGCGUACCGGGUGGGAACCUGCCCGUAGGAUCCGAGUAACUCCCCGACCGGGGUUCUAAUAACGGCUAAGGUACUCGGACUAAUGGUUUAUCGCCCUUGGGUGGGCCGGCGUUGGAUUAGCUCGUUGGUAGGGUAAAAGCCUACCAAGGCGCCGCUCCUUAGCUGGUCUGAGAGGAUGAUCCGCCACACUGGGACUGAGACACGGCCGAGACUCCUACGAGAGGCAGCAGUGGGGAAUAUUGGAGAAGGGGCGACAGCCUGAGCCAGCAAGGCUGCGUGAGUGAUGAAGGUCUUAGGGUUGAAAAGGCCUUUUGGCUGGGAGGGUAGUGACAGUAGCGGGAGAAUAAGCUCCGGCUAACUACGUG